This 552-nucleotide long non-coding RNA is filed under the name Volvox carteri. RNAcentral's name for it is "long non-coding RNA (VCAR_LNC002208)". The record is from RNAcentral. Lineage: Eukaryota; Viridiplantae; Chlorophyta; Chlorophyceae; Chlamydomonadales; Volvocaceae.
CGACCGGGGUAUGUCAUGAUGAUUGGGAUGGCCGCAAACGGUGUCGCUCGCUGGCGGGUUACGCACCUGCAGCCGGGUAGGGUAAACCGCAAACAGGUAGGCUAUGUAACCAGCAACGAAGUGCGCCACAUCUCAACCACCGCCGCGCCUCAAUCGCCUUUUAAGAUAUCUAUUCCAUUCCAGAAAAACGCAGUGGUCUCAACGAACAACCACCUGCCUAGUAAGGUAAAAACGUGGAUUUGCGCAUGAAAGUGCUCUCGGCCGGGUUCCUGUCUGUGCUCAAGUUCGUUCGGAUGUCGAUCCCCCCUGCUAUCCCAAUUGCGUCCCUGGCUGCAAUCUCCUCCUUGCUCCUUGCCUCCGUUGUUCAAAGAUUUGUUUAGUUCCUAUCAAUUAGCUUUCCAUCUUGAACUACCUGAUCGACUGCGUUUCUGUAUGUCCUCAAGCCCCACAGCAGCCUACUGAACAGCACACAACGACUUUUCAAGCGAGCGAUGGCAGCACUUACUUGCACUUGGGAUAGUCAACCUUCUGGGCCGCGCAAGCAAGAGAGGU